AGAGUGAACGCUGGCGGCAGGCCUAACACAUGCAAGUCGAGCGGCAGCACAGUCGUAGCAAUACGAUGGGUGGCGAGCGGCGGACGGGUGAGGAAUGCAUCGGAAUCUACCUUGUUGUGGGGGAUAACGUAGGGAAACUUACGCUAAUACCGCAUAAGACCGUGAGGUGAAAGCGGGGGACCUGCAAGGGCCUCGCGCGACAAGAUGAGCCGAUGCCGGAUUAGCUAGUUGGUGGGGUAAAGGCCCACCAAGGCGACGAUCCGUAGCUGGUCUGAGAGGAUGAUCAGCCACACUGGAACUGAGACACGGUCCAGACUCCUACGGGAGGCAGCAGUGGGGAAUAUUGAACAAUGGGCGCAAGCCUGAUCCAGCCAUGCCGCGUGUGUGAAGAAGGCCUUCGGUUGUAAGCACUUUGUUGGGUAAGAAAGUACCGGGAGUUAAUACUUCCUGAGCUGACGGUACCCAAAGAAUAAGACACCGGCUAACUUCGUGCCACG
Molecule: ribosomal RNA, 497 nt
Filed under: uncultured soil bacterium
Lineage: Bacteria
Description: bacterial SSU rRNA
Rfam family: Bacterial small subunit ribosomal RNA
Source: RNAcentral